UACGAAGGGGGCUAGCGUUGCUCGGAAUCACUGGGCGUAAAGCGCACGUAGGCGGACUCUUAAGUCGGUGGUGAAAUCCUGGAGCUCAACUCCAGAACUGCCUUCGAUACUGAGAGUCUCGAGUCCGAGAGAGGUGAGUGGAACUGCGAAGUGUAGAGGUGAAAUUCGUAGAUAUUCGCAAGAACACCAGUGGCGAAGGCGGCUCACUGGCUCGGUACUGACGCUGAGGUGGUGAA
RNAcentral lists this ribosomal RNA (236 nucleotides) under uncultured bacterium. Its description in RNAcentral is "partial 16S ribosomal RNA". It matches the Rfam family "Bacterial small subunit ribosomal RNA", at positions 524 to 758 of the family's 1533-position model. The record is from RNAcentral.